AACGAACGCUGGCGGCAGGCCUAAAACAUGCAAGUCGAACGAACCUUCGGGUUAGUGGCGCACGGGUGCGUAACGCGCGGGAAUAUACCUCUGGGUGCGGAACAACGUCUGGAAACGGACGCUAAUACCGCAUAAUAUCUACGGAUCAAAGAUUUAUCGCCCAGAGAUUAGCCCGCGUCUGAUUAGCUAGUUGGUGAGGUAAUGGCUCACCAAGGCGACGAUCAGUAGCUGGUCUGAGAGGAUGAUCAGCCACACUGGAACUGAGACACGGUCCAGACUCCUACGGGAGGCAGCAGUUGGGAAUAUUGGACAAUGGGGGAAACCCUGAUCCAGCCAUGCCGCGUGAGUGAAGAAGGCCUUAGGGUUGUAAAGCUCUUUCGGCUGUGAAGAUAAUGACAGUAGCAGAAGAAGAAGCUCCGGCUAAAUUCGUGCCAGCAGCCGCGGUAA
RNAcentral lists this ribosomal RNA (447 nucleotides) under uncultured bacterium. Its description in RNAcentral is "partial 16S ribosomal RNA". It matches the Rfam family "Bacterial small subunit ribosomal RNA", at positions 29 to 523 of the family's 1533-position model. The record is from RNAcentral.